GACGAACGCUAGCUACAGGCUUAACACAUGCAAGUCGAGGGGAAACGACAUCGAAAGCUUGCUUUUGAUGGGGGCCGACCGGCGCACGGGAGAGUAACGCGUAUCCAUCCUGCCUAUCACUUGGGAAUAACCCUGCGAAAGUAAGACUAAUACCCAAUCAUAUCCCUCGAAGGGAUCGGAAUGGGAUUAAUGAUUUAUCGGUGCUGGAUGGGGAUGCGUCUGAUUAGCUUGUUGUCGGGGUAACGGCCUACCAAGGCAACGAUCAGUAGGUGUUCUGAGAGGAAGCUCCCCCACAUUGGAACUUAGACACUGACCAAACUCCUACGGGACGCAGCAGUGAGGGACAUUGUUCAAUGGGCGAGAGCCUGAACCAACCAAGUAGCAUGCAGCAAGACUGCCCGAUGGGUGGUAGCCUUCUAUUAUGAGUUAAUAAAGUGCGUCGCCUGUGACUUUGUGCCUGUACCUGAUAAAGAAGGACCGGCUAACUCCGUG
This 492-nucleotide ribosomal RNA is filed under the name uncultured bacterium. RNAcentral describes it as "partial 16S ribosomal RNA". It matches the Rfam family "Bacterial small subunit ribosomal RNA", at positions 28 to 507 of the family's 1533-position model. The record is from RNAcentral.